This 349-nucleotide long non-coding RNA is filed under the name Vombatus ursinus (common wombat). RNAcentral describes it as "lncRNA (ENSVURG00010008235.1)". The record is from RNAcentral. Lineage: Eukaryota; Metazoa; Chordata; Mammalia; Diprotodontia; Vombatidae.
AGAGAAUUUAGUCAAAUAACACAUUCAGAUUUGUUUCCACCCUCUUUCUCUCAUUCCUGUCCUUGCGUCACUCAGGGUGAUGAUUGCAUGUCCCUUCUGACGACUCCAUGCUUGGGAAGCCCCAAUGUGUCAGACACUCCCCAAAGUGGAAGACGACUCAUCUAGCGACAGUGGUGAUGAAGGGGGGCUAUGGUUUACAGCUCGUAUUACAUAUGAAGAUGACGAUUUCAAUAAGCCAGCUCUCACAAGAAAUCUUGGCAAAGAAGGCACACCAGAUUGUCAUCAAAGGUGAGCUUCCAUUCUUGCCCAAAACUUUAUUACAAUUAGCUCUGUAGUGAGAACCUAGACA